RNAcentral lists this ribosomal RNA (477 nucleotides) under uncultured bacterium. RNAcentral describes it as "partial 16S ribosomal RNA". It matches the Rfam family "Bacterial small subunit ribosomal RNA", at positions 28 to 506 of the family's 1533-position model. The record is from RNAcentral.
GACGAACGCUGGCGGCAUGCUUAACACAUGCAAGUCGAACGGGAUUUUUGUGGUAAUUCUUUCGGGAAUGGACAUGAAAUGAAAGUGUCGAACGGGUGAUUAACACGUGAGCAGCCUACCUUACACAGGGGGAUAGCCGUUGGAAACGACGAUUAAUACCGCAUGAGACCACAGAAUCGCAUGAUAUCGGGGUCAAAAAUUUAUCGGUGUAAGAGGGGCUCGCGUCUGAUUAGCUAGGUGGAAGGGUAAAGGCCGACUAAGGCGACGAUCAGUAGCCGGUCUGAGAGGAUGAACGGCCACAUUGGAACUGAGACACGGUCCAAACUCCUACGGAAGGCAGCAGUGGGGAAUAUGGCACAAUGGGGGGAACCCUGAUGCAGCGACGCCGCGUGAGCGAAGAAGGUUUUCGAAUCGUAAAGCUGUGUACUAUGAGAAGAUAAUGACGGAAUCAUAGGAGGAAGCCCCGGCUAAAUACGU